AACCUACGGGGGGCAGCAGUAGGGAAUCUUCCACAAUGGGCGAAAGCCUGAUGGAGCAACGCCGCGUGGGUGAAGAAGGUCUUCGGAUCGUAAAACCCUGUUGUUAGAGAAGAAAGUGCGUGAGAGUAACUGUUCACGUUUCGACGGUAUCUAACCAGAAAGCCACGGCUAACUACGUGCCAGCAGCCGCGGUAAUACGUAGGUGGCAAGCGUUAUCCGGAUUUAUUGGGUUUAAAGGGGGCGCAGGCGGAGGUGCAAGUCAGCGGUCAAAUUGC
RNAcentral lists this ribosomal RNA (275 nucleotides) under uncultured bacterium. Its description in RNAcentral is "partial 16S ribosomal RNA". It matches the Rfam family "Bacterial small subunit ribosomal RNA", at positions 335 to 603 of the family's 1533-position model. The record is from RNAcentral.